RNAcentral lists this ribosomal RNA (253 nucleotides) under uncultured bacterium. RNAcentral's name for it is "partial 16S ribosomal RNA". It matches the Rfam family "Bacterial small subunit ribosomal RNA", at positions 524 to 776 of the family's 1533-position model. The record is from RNAcentral.
UACGUAGGGGGCAAGCGUUGUCCGGAUUUAUUGGGCGUAAAGAGCGUGUAGGCGGCUUUGCAGGUCCGCUGUGAAAACUCGAGGCUCAACCUCGAGCUGUCGGUGGAAACCGUAAAGCUAGAGUCCGGAAGAGGAGAGUGGAAUUCCCGGUGUAGCGGUGAAAUGCGCAGAUAUCGGGAGGAACACCGGUGGCGAAGGCGGUUCUCUGGGCCUUACCUGACGCUGAGGAGCGAAAGCGUGGGGAGCGAACAGG